RNAcentral lists this non-coding RNA (21 nucleotides) under Caenorhabditis elegans. Lineage: Eukaryota; Metazoa; Nematoda; Chromadorea; Rhabditida; Rhabditidae. The record is from RNAcentral.
UCCAGUUAUAAUCGCAAGAAA